CUCGCAACAAACAACCAACAAAAACCAACCAAAGUUACUCAUCACUGUCCGAAAACACAAAGCCACCACUGCCGGCCGCCCGCCCUCCUCCGCCGCCGCUGCCGCCACUUCCUCCUUCUCAAAUCAGGUCAUUUCAAAACCCUAACUUCGAUGUCAACCCUAAUCCAAUUCAGAACUCACUGCCUCUCGCCACCGCUCCAAUUCAAGAAACGCUCACUUCUCCCUUCACCUCCCACGUCCUUUCUCUCUCAUCCUUGUUCGGAUUUCUCUCUCUUGAAAUUGAGAGGUCAACGAAUCCUCCACAGCAAUGGCGUCCUCGCUCGUGCGGAAGACAAGGCCCGAAACUCCUCCUCACCGUCAUCUCCUUCGUCGAGUCAACAGAACCAAGCCACUGACUCCGAGAAAAAAAUUCAGGAGCUGACAUCAUCAUCUGGAGAAUGUGAUCCUUUAUGUUCUGUCGAUGAAACAAGCUCACAAGAUUUUGAGGCCACUUAUCAGCCGAAAACUGAUCUAUUGAAAGCUCUAGCGAUUCUUGGAGCAGCUGCAAUAGGAACCGUGGCAAUUAAUCAAUCCUGGGUUGCUGCUAAUCAGGAUGUUGCUAUGGUCCUGCUCUUUGGAAUUGGAUAUGCAGGCAUUAUUUUUGAAGAAUCUCUGGCGUUUAAUAAAAGUGGAGUAGGAUUAUUAAUGGCAGUGAGUUUGUGGGUAGUACGAAGCAUUGGGGCUCCCUCAACCGAGGUUGCUGUUUCAGAGUUGACACAUGCAUCUGCUGAAGUCAGUGAAAUAGUAUUUUUCUUGUUGGGUGCAAUGACCAUUGUGGAGAUAGUUGAUGCCCAUCAAGGAUUUAAGUUGGUUACCGACAACAUAACUACUCGAAAGCCAAGGACUCUGCUUUGGGUGGUUGGCUUAGUGACUUUUUUCCUCAGUUCAAUCCUUGACAACCUGACCUCCACUAUUGUCAUGGUUUCCUUAUUGAGGAAACUCGUACCUCCAUCAGAAUACCGCAAGCUUCUAGGGGCUGUUGUUGUGAUAGCAGCAAAUGCUGGUGGUGCAUGGACUCCUAUUGGUGAUGUAACCACCACUAUGCUGUGGAUACAUGGUCAAAUAUCUACAUUGCCAACAAUGAAGGGCUUAAUUUUACCUGCUGCAGUUUCCUUGGCUGUCCCGCUGGCUCUUCUGUCACUUACUAGUGAAGUUAAUGGAACGGGACAAGAUUCUCCGAAUGUUUUGUCAUCCGAACAAAUGGCCCCUCGAGGACUGCUUGUUUUCUCUGUUGGGAUUGGAGGACUGGUGUUUGUCCCUGUGUUCAAGGCUUUAACAGGUUUACCACCUUUCAUGGGUAUGUUGCUUGGACUUGGAGUUCUUUGGAUUUUGACAGAUGCAAUUCAUUACGGUGAAUCCGAUAGGCAAAAGUUGAAGGUACCCCAGGCUUUAUCGCGAAUUGACACCCAAGGAGCCCUUUUCUUCCUUGGGAUCCUUUUGUCUGUCAGCAGCCUGGAGGCAGCAGGGAUACUUCGAGAAUUGGCAAAUUACCUUGAUGCCCACAUUCCAAACAUUGAACUGAUUGCGACUGCAAUAGGGGUUGUAUCAGCAAUUAUAGACAACGUUCCAUUAGUUGCUGCAACAAUGGGAAUGUAUGAUCUCACUUCUUUCCCCCAAGAUUCCGAAUUUUGGCAACUGGUUGCGUAUUGUGCCGGUACAGGAGGAUCCAUGUUGGUUAUUGGCUCCGCUGCGGGAGUUGCAUUUAUGGGAAUGGAGAAGGUGGAUUUCUUUUGGUACUUGCGGAAGGUAUCUGGAGUUGCUUUUGCUGGAUAUGCUGCUGGAAUUGCUACAUACUUAGCAGUUCACAAUCUCCAUCUCUCUCUCCCUACGACCGUAGCUCAGGUCCCUUUUCUUUCUGGUUCAUAAGCUAAUUAUUCUCGGCCUUCAUUUCCGUCAUGACUAGUAAGGCAAUACAUCUCAUGUAAUACUGCUGUUGUCGAUCAUUAUAAAUUUGCACCAACUGGCGGUGCAUGAAGCGUUGAGAACAAUUGGGAGAAAGAAUUACCAGUUCUGGUGAGAAGUAUGCAAAAGUAGUUGGGACACCAGCCUUGGAGUGUAUAAUUAUAGUCGUUGAAGGUGUAUAAUGUCCUUGAUGCUUAUUACAUUGGUAGGACUUCUACAAGAAAUGUGAUUUUGAUCAUAGUUCAAUAAAAUUCUUGAUUAAUAUAGCACAUCUUCUAAUAAAGUUGAAAUUGCUACUUAACAAGUGAUAGAACUUAAGUUCAUCAAAUCCACAUAUGGGUCUUAAGCACCCAUGUUUGUUUCUUCCUUGUCACACUCACAAGGCCACAAGGGUGUCCAAGACUUCAACCCGUCCGUACAUAAUCACUCCUCGCCCCUCGCGUACUUGAUCGCUUUGUUCGCCAUGUGCGAGAUAAAUGGAUUCGAGAACCCUGUAGUGAGCAAAGUCGCUAUAGGAUUGUAGUAAGCAUUUCAGCCGUCUAUCUAGCAAUCAACAGUUCGGAUUUAAAAAAAAAAACUCUUCCAAGGAAGAGGUACAAUUUUGGAUUGCUAAUCGCUACAAUUUUAUAGUGACUUUACUCACUACAGGGUCCUCGGAUCCCAAGGUAAAUACCAAAUCUCAAAUGGCUAAGAAUGAAUAGCCUGGGAGUGAUGAUUAGAGUAUGAAGCACCUACUCUUGGCAUGGAUCUACUGCUUGCAUGGAUGACUUACCUUUAAGUUAGAUAAAUGAAACAAACUAUUCGAGUCCAAGUUCGUGUUCACUCGUUAAAAGCUUGUUGCCAUGAGAACAAAACUACACCGUUUGCACACAAUUAGGCUCCUUAGUUCCUUUUCCCUUAUCCCCCGUUUGGCACCUGCAAAUGAGUGAAGGUUAAUUACUAUUUUUUUUUUACACUUUUUUGAAUCCUUGUAUAGGUGAAUGUCUAAUCCAAACACACACAUCCAGAUCUAAUUAACAUUCGAUAUGAGUGUCAUCUUAAAUUUCUUUCGCUCUAUGUUUGUUUCACCUAAUUAUAGGGUUACAAAUAACCGAGCUGUUUGUGAACUGUUCGAGGCUCGACUCAAUGAAGCCUUGUUUGAGUUUUAUUCGUCAAUUAAACAAACCGAACUGCCUCGGUGUUUCAAUUCUCUGAAAUGGAGGUUAUAAAAUUCCCACUUUUGUUUUUAAAUUUCAAUGCUAGCAUGUCCUUUGUACAUUUUCUUUAUAUAGAAAAGGUUUUAUCUUUUAUAAAUAAAAUCGAAUUGUCAUCCAAAUUUAAACCA
RNA transcript from Rhododendron vialii, 3265 nucleotides. It is a transcript of the gene named sodium/proton antiporter 1-like, with no coding region annotated. The record is from RefSeq and is a predicted model, not a curated record. The transcript has 11 exons. NCBI's taxonomy places the organism in Eukaryota, Viridiplantae, Streptophyta, Magnoliopsida, Ericales, Ericaceae.